AGAACGAACGCUGGCGGCAGGCUUAACACAUGCAAGUCGAACGGUUGUAGCAAUACAGCAGUGGCAGACGGGUGAGUAACACGUGGGAACCUUCCUAGGGGUACGGAACAACUCAGGGAAACUUGAGCUAAUACCGUAUACGUCCGUAAGGAGAAAGAUUCAUCGCCCCUAGACGGGCCCGCGUAGGAUUAGGUAGUUGGUGAGGUAACGGCUCACCAAGCCUACGAUCCUUAGCUGA
This 238-nucleotide ribosomal RNA is filed under the name uncultured soil bacterium. Its description in RNAcentral is "partial 16S ribosomal RNA". It matches the Rfam family "Bacterial small subunit ribosomal RNA", at positions 26 to 290 of the family's 1533-position model. The record is from RNAcentral.